RNAcentral lists this ribosomal RNA (253 nucleotides) under uncultured bacterium. Its description in RNAcentral is "partial 16S ribosomal RNA". It matches the Rfam family "Bacterial small subunit ribosomal RNA", at positions 524 to 776 of the family's 1533-position model. The record is from RNAcentral.
GACGUAGGGUGCGAGCGUUGUCCGGAUUUAUUGGGCGUAAAGAGCUCGUAGGCGGCUCGUCGCGUCGACCGUGAAAACCCGCGGCUUAACUGCGGGCUUGCGGUUGAUACGGGCGGGCUAGAGUUCGGUAGGGGAGACUGGAAUUCCUGGUGUAGCGGUGAAAUGCGCAGAUAUCGGGAAGAACACCCGUGGCGAAGGCGGCUCUCUGGGACGGUACUGACGCUGAGACGCGAAAGCGUGGGGAGCGAACAGG